GAUACCCUGGUAGUCCACGCCCUAAACGAUGUCUACUAGUUGUCGGGGAUUAAUUUCCUUGGUAACGCAGCUAACGCGUGAAGUAGACCGCCUGGGGAGUACGGUCGCAAGAUUAAAACUCAAAGGAAUUGACGGGGACCCGCACAAGCGGUGGAUGAUGUGGAUUAAUUCGAUGCAACGCGAAAAACCUUACCUACGCUUGACAUGUCCGGAACCCUGAAGAGAUUUAGGGGUGCUCGAAAGAGAGCCGGAACACAGGUGCUGCAUGGCUGUCGUCAGCUCGUGUCGUGAGAUGUUGGGNNAANNNNNGCAACGAGCGCAACCCUUAUCAUUAGUUGCUACGCAAGGGCACUCUAAUGAGACUGCCGGUGACAAACCGGAGGAAGGUGGGGAUGACGUCAAGUCCUCAUGGCCCUUAUGUGUAGGGCUUCACACGUCAUACAAUGGUCGGUACAGAGGGUUGCGAAGCCGCGAGGUGGAGCCAAUCCCAAAAAACCGAUCGUAGUCCGGAUUGCAGU
This 518-nucleotide ribosomal RNA is filed under the name uncultured bacterium. RNAcentral's name for it is "bacterial SSU rRNA". It matches the Rfam family "Bacterial small subunit ribosomal RNA", at positions 781 to 1304 of the family's 1533-position model. The record is from RNAcentral.